Molecule: small nuclear RNA, 318 nt
Filed under: Canis lupus familiaris (dog)
Lineage: Eukaryota; Metazoa; Chordata; Mammalia; Carnivora; Canidae
Also listed under: 1 other name
Description: 7SK RNA
Rfam family: 7SK RNA
About the family: 7SK was discovered as an abundant small nuclear RNA in the mid-70s but a possible function has only recently been suggested.
Source: Rfam by way of RNAcentral
GGAUGUAGGGCCACUUGACUAUGAGAUCUGGCACACCACUGAUCGCCAGGGUUGAUUUGGCUGAUCUGGUUGGUUGUCCCCUUCCUCCCUCAUGGCUCCAUGUGCAUCCCUCCUGAAGCAUGCCUGGUUGAAAAAGACAGCAUUACCUGAUAGAGGAGGACCGGCUUAGGUCAAGGGCAUAUGAGUAGCUGUGCUCUCCUGCUAGAACCUGCAAAUAGGCUCUCAAGGUCCAUUUGUAGGAGAAUAUGAGGUAGUCAAGUUUCCAAAACUCUAGACACAUCCAAAUGAGGUGCUGCAUGUGGCAGUCUGCCUUUCUUU